GACGAACGCUGGCGGCGUGCUUAACACAUGCAAGUCGAACGGAAAGGCCCUGCUUUUGUGGGGUGCUCGAGUGGCGAACGGGUGAGUAACACGUGAGUAACCUGCCCUUGACUUUGGGAUAACUUCAGGAAACUGGGGCUAAUACCGGAUAGGAGCUCCUGCUGCAUGGUGGGGGUUGGAAAGUUUCGGCGGUUGGGGAUGGACUCGCGGCUUAUCAGCUUGUUGGUGUGGUAGUGGCUUACCAAGGCUUUGACGGGUAGCCGGCCUGAGAGGGUGACCGGCCACAUUGGGACUGAGAUACGGCCAAGACUCCUAAGGGAGGCAGCAGUGGGGAAUAUUGCACAAUGGGCGGAAGCCUGAUGCAGCAACGCCGCGUGCGGGAUGACGGCCUUCGGGUUGUAAACCGCUUUAGCCUGUGACGAAGCGUGAGUGACGGUAAUGGGUAAAGAAGCACCGGCUAACUACGUG
This 468-nucleotide ribosomal RNA is filed under the name uncultured bacterium. Its description in RNAcentral is "partial 16S ribosomal RNA". It matches the Rfam family "Bacterial small subunit ribosomal RNA", at positions 28 to 507 of the family's 1533-position model. The record is from RNAcentral.